This 77-nucleotide transfer RNA is filed under the name Rhodospirillales bacterium RIFCSPLOWO2_02_FULL_58_16. Its description in RNAcentral is "tRNA-Arg". It matches the Rfam family "tRNA". Rfam says of the family: Transfer RNA (tRNA) molecules are approximately 80 nucleotides in length. Their secondary structure includes four short double-helical elements and three loops (D, anti-codon, and T loops). Further hydrogen bonds mediate the characteristic L-shaped molecular structure. tRNAs have two regions of fundamental functional importance: the anti-codon, which is responsible for specific mRNA codon recognition, and the 3' end, to which the tRNAs corresponding amino acid is attached (by aminoacyl-tRNA synthetases). tRNAs cope with the degeneracy of the genetic code in two manners: having more than one tRNA (with a specific anti-codon) for a particular amino acid; and 'wobble' base-pairing, i.e. permitting non-standard base-pairing at the 3rd anti-codon position. Lineage: Bacteria; Pseudomonadati; Pseudomonadota; Alphaproteobacteria; Rhodospirillales. RNAcentral also lists the same sequence under 4 other names. The record is from RNAcentral.
GCGCCCGUAGCUCAAUUGGAUAGAGCAUCUGACUACGAAUCAGAAGGUUGGGAGUUCGAGUCUCUCCGGGCGCGCCA